Molecule: ribosomal RNA, 1467 nt
Filed under: Salinibacillus xinjiangensis
Lineage: Bacteria; Bacillati; Bacillota; Bacilli; Caryophanales; Bacillaceae
Description: partial 23S ribosomal RNA
Rfam family: Bacterial large subunit ribosomal RNA
Source: RNAcentral
UUUUUAGUAUGUGGUCGUAGACCCGAAACCGUGUGACCUACCCAUGUCCAGGGUGAAGGUAAGGUAACACUUACUGGAGGCCCGAACCCACGUACGUUGAAAAGUGCGGGGAUGAGGUGUGGGUAGCGGUGAAAUGCCAAUCGAACACGGAGAUAGCUGGUUCUCUCCGAAAUAGCUUUAGGGCUAGCCUCAAGAUAAGAGUUUUGGAGGUAGAGCACUGAUUGGACUAGGGGCCCUCAUCGGGUUACCGAAUUCAGUCAAACUCCGAAUGCCAACAACUUCGUCUUGGGAGUCAGACUAUGGGUGAUAAGGUUCAUAGUCGAGAGGGAAACAGCCCAGACCGCCAGCUAAGGUCCCUAAGUAUACGUUAAGUGGAAAAGGAUGUGGAGUUGCUUAGACAACCAGGAUGUUGGCUUAGAAGCAGCCAUCAUUUAAAGAGUGCGUAAUAGCUCACUGGUCGAGUGACUCUGCGCCGAAAAUAUACCGGGGCUAAACGUAUCACCGAAGCUGCGGAUUGUACCGUAGGUACAAUGGUAGGAGAGCGUUCUAAGGGCUGUGAAGUCAGAUCGAAAGAACUGGUGGAGCGCUUAGAAGUGAGAAUGCCGGUAUGAGUAACGAAAGACAAGUGAGAAUCUUGUCCACCGAAAGCCUAAGGUUUCCUGAGGAAGGCUCGUCCGCUCAGGGUUAGUCGGGACCUAAGCCGAGGCCGAAAGGCGUAGGCGAUGGAAAACAGGUUGACAUUCCUGUACCACCUUACAUCUGUUUAAGCAAUGGGGUGACGCAGUAGGAUAAGGAAAGCGUGCUGUUGGAUAUGCACGUCCAAGCAGUGAGAGUGUUGUGUAGGUAAAUCCGCACAACGUAAGCUCAAGCUGUGAUGGGGAGGGAAAUUGAGUACCGAAGUUCCUGAUUUCACACUGCCAAGAAAAGCCUCUAGUGANAGGCGAUGGAAAACAGGUUGACAUUCCUGUACCACCUUACAUCUGUUUGAGCAAUGGGGUGACGCAGUAGGAUAAGGAAAGCGUGCUGUUGGAUAUGCACGUCCAAGCAGUGAGAGUGUUGUGUAGGUAAAUCCGCACAACGUAAGCUCAAGCUGUGAUGGGGAGGGAAAUCGAGUACCGAAGUUCCUGAUUUCACACUGCCAAGAAAAGCCUCUAGUGAGGAUGUGGGUGCCCGUACCGCAAACCGACACAGGUAGGCGAGGAGAGAAUCCUAAGGUGAGCGGGAUAACUCUCGUUAAGGAACUCGGCAAAAUGACCCCGUAACUUCGGGAGAAGGGGUGCUCGUUCAGGCUUCGGUCUGGAUGAGCCGCAGUGAAAAGGCCCAAGCGACUGUUUAUCAAAAACACAGGUCUCUGCGAAGCCGAAAGGCGAAGUAUAGGGGCUGACACCUGCCCGGUGCUGGAAGGUUAAGGGGACGAGUUAGUCCUUCGGGACGAAGCUUAGAACCGAAGCCCCAGUAAACGGCGGC